Molecule: ribosomal RNA, 429 nt
Filed under: Actinomycetes bacterium
Lineage: Bacteria; Bacillati; Actinomycetota; Actinomycetes
Description: Actinobacteria bacterium partial 16S ribosomal RNA
Rfam family: Bacterial small subunit ribosomal RNA
Source: RNAcentral
UAGGGAAUCUUCCGCAAUGGGCGAAAGCCUGACGGAGCAACGCCGCGUGAGUGAUGAAGGUCUUCGGAUCGUAAAACUCUGUUAUUAGGGAAGAACAAAUGUGUAAGUAACUAUGCACGUCUUGACGGUACCUAAUCAGAAAGCCACGGCUAACUACGUGCCAGCAGCCGCGGUAAUACGUAGGUGGCAAGCGUUAUCCGGAAUUAUUGGGCGUAAAGCGCGCGUAGGCGGUUUUUUAAGUCUGAUGUGAAAGCCCACGGCUCAACCGUGGAGGGUCAUUGGAAACUGGAAAACUUGAGUGCAGAAGAGGAAAGUGGAAUUCCAUGUGUAGCGGGUAAAUGCGCAGAGAUAUGGAGGAACACCAGUGGCGAAGGCGACUUUCUGGUCUGUAACUGACGCUGAUGUGCGAAAGCGUGGGGAUCAAACAGG